Passer montanus (Eurasian tree sparrow) is the source of this 2629-nucleotide RNA transcript. RefSeq lists it as uncharacterized. Lineage: Eukaryota; Metazoa; Chordata; Aves; Passeriformes; Passeridae. The transcript is spliced from 5 exons. The record is from RefSeq and is a predicted model, not a curated record.
ACCGCCGGCUGGAGCUCAAAUGGACAUCGGGCACCUGCCGGCCAACUCUGAGGGAGGAGGGCGACACGCCACUGUUGCAAAACCAGUGCACGGUCGCAGGGCUUGCUUGUAAUCAUUUCGCCUCAUUUCCCAAAAAGCUGUUAGAUGAGCGACUGGCAUGGACAUCCACAGGAGGUGGGGAGUCUUAGGAGCCCAGUACCGCAACUUUUUCACUGUGCGGUACCUGGGCUUUCUCCACACACGACUCUAUUGCAGGACCCCAAGUGGACAAGGGAGUUCUAACAAGUGGAAAGAGAUUGUGAGUUUGCUUCUCUCUGCACCCUUCGCACCUCUGAUGUUAAAACUCCAGCGCGACCGACAGGCUGCGAUAGUGCCUUCGGGGAGCCGCUGCCUGGCUGCCAUCCCUCGGGGCAAAACGCAGGAGGAGAAAGGCAACAGCAGGAGGAGAAAGGCACCGCACCUGGCUGCGCGCUCCAGCCGGGGCCGGGCAGUCCCGUCCCGCGGCCGCGCACCCCCCGCGCCCAAGCUCUCCCGUAAACUCAUCUUUGGUUUGGGGGGGCCGUCCCCGCCCGCCUGCCUGUCUCCUGCCUGUCCCCUGCCUGUCUCCUGCCUGUGUCCUGCCUGUCUCCUGCCUCCCCUCCGUCCCCCGCGCAGGGCCGCGCACUCACCCGCGGCGCGGAGCGGCCGCUCCGUCGCUCAUGCCUCCCCGGCGGGCGCGGUCCUUCUGCUGUUUCUAAGCUCCUCAGCUCGAAAUGCUCAGCUUCUUCCCUCACCACCACCUCAGGUUCCUACAGGAAUGAAGCUCAGUCAAAGAAUUGUGGAGUUCAAGACUAGAUAACAUGAGAAUAGCAGAAGUCAUAGCAAAGGUGACUGCUUGUGUCUAUGGCUUGCAGUGUACUAUGGGCGUAACACCAUAACUUCCUUGAAAGAAGACAGAUGCUGUAAACCCCUGCCUCCUUCCCCUCCUACCAAGUGUCCCACCAGGAAACCUCCUCCCAAAACUCACAUCUGCACCCGUGACCAGAAGCAGAUGCAGCUGGCAAACUGCAGACCCACAGACCUGGCAGCAUCCUUCCCCAAGCAAGCUAAAGAACAAAAAGAAAGGCUGUGCAAGAGGCAAACCUGCAGUCCUUGCAAGAGACCACUUUACCAGUGGGGACACCAACACAGAGAGCAUUUCAUGUUUCUCCAACAAGUGCAUGAAAUUACAGAACCUGGAUGAAGAUCCCAGAUCUCUUAAGUCAAAGUCCAUCACUCCAGCCACAAGCAGAGCUACAUCUAACAUUGAAGAGGCACGUGGAGCUCUCUUGAAUUAGCUACAUUGCCAAAAGCACAAGUGUUCUCCCAUAAAACAGGAGGGAUGCAUGGCUGUCUGGUGCUUGGAAGAGACACGAGAGCCAAGGGAGCACUCUCCUGCCACGCCAGCCCUCCCACAGGCUCCCUGUAAUGCCUUUACAGCACAUUUUACUUGCUCUGACAACUGACCUGCAUUAGAGAAGUGCUUAGAGAUCUUCAAAUGAAGAAAUGUUCAUAACUAAAAAGCAUUUACUGUAAUGAAGGCCCUUAAAAGAGGCUCUGCAUGCCACAGCUGAUCUCUAGUGUAGAUAUAAUCACUCUGAAUGUUGUGGAGUGUAUUUUCAUUCCUCUUCUGCAUACAUUAUAUAUAAUUUUCUGAGUAAAACAAACAUCUGUGCACAGUUGUGGAGAUGAGAUUUUAUGCUAGUUAUGGUGGAUGACAUUCAGCUUUUGUUUUUGCCCAGGAUUCUUACAAAAUAUAAACAAAGUUACAAUGCAGCCUCCCACUUUGACCUUUUAAAUUUUACUUUUAAAAAUAGAGGUUAUCUUUUAUGCUUCAAAUUAUGCCUUUAUCUCUUAUAAUCCCAUAAGUCAGAUAUCACAGUCCCACUUCAAUUAUGCUAAACUCUUAUGUUAAUUUUAAAUCAUGUAACUUAAUUCCUGGCAAAGCAGGCUGGUGAUUUUCAAAAUGUGGUUAAUGAAGCAAAGUACAAUCUAGAUUCUGCUACUGAGAUCAUCUGAAUCCCUUAGGUCGCUGAACAUGACUGUGGAGAGGCUCUUCUUUACAAAAGUCUCGGUUAGAUUUUCAAAAAAUGAAUUUUUAAGUGCAGUUAGGGGCUAUGAAAUUUGAAGUUGAGCGUACAAAGAAGUUAAAUUACUUUCACUAGAGCCAUAGAACAACAGUGCAGCUAAAACAAUUACACUUCUGUGCACAUACAUGCUUCAAAGACCUUAAGUGGUGUCCUCCCCUGUUAAAUCACAAAUGCAAAUCAUACCAGAUUUUCAAGAUGACAGUCUGGGGACCUGAUGUCCACGUACGUAUGCAAAUCAAUGUCAUUUUCCCUAUCAUUUGCAGAAACCAAAUAUUUGCUGAUAAUUUCUUUCAACACCCUCCUUGACUCAAACAAUAGCUUUAUCUAAGAGCCACUAAAAGACAAAAUCUUAUGAGAAUGUGCAGAUUUCAAUGCAAUUAAAGCUGUCCCCCCAAAUCUCUGUCAUUCUCUGAUCAGAUAGGCAGAAAGUUUGCCACUAAAAUGAACUCAGUGUGAAGCUUAAGUUCUUCAGAGACUUUGUCAUUUACUAAUAUUAAUUUAUUUCUCUGAAUUAAAGUAUU